Molecule: ribosomal RNA, 268 nt
Filed under: uncultured Pseudonocardiaceae bacterium
Lineage: Bacteria; Bacillati; Actinomycetota; Actinomycetes; Pseudonocardiales; Pseudonocardiaceae
Description: partial 23S ribosomal RNA
Rfam family: Bacterial large subunit ribosomal RNA
Source: RNAcentral
GUCGUAACAAGGUAGCCGUAGCGAAAGCGAGUCCGAACAGGGCGUGCACCUUUGGGUGCGUUAGUCGCGGGGUGUAGACCCGAAGCGGGGUGAUCUACCCAUGGCCAGGGUGAAGCGGCUGUAAGAGGUCGUGGAGGCCCGAACCCACCAGGGUUGAAAACCUGGGGGAUGAGUUGUGGGUAGGGGUGAAAGGCCAAUCAAACUCCGUGAUAGCUGGUUCUCCCCGAAAUGCAUUUAGGUGCAGCGUUGUGUGGUGGAUGCCUUGGCA